RNAcentral lists this ribosomal RNA (401 nucleotides) under uncultured bacterium. Its description in RNAcentral is "bacterial SSU rRNA". It matches the Rfam family "Bacterial small subunit ribosomal RNA", at positions 355 to 774 of the family's 1533-position model. The record is from RNAcentral.
UGGGGAAUAUUGCACAAUGGGGGAAACCCUGAUGCAGCGACGCCGCGUGAGGGAAGAAGAUUUUCGGAUUGUAAACCUCUGUCUUCAGGGACGAUAAUGACGGUACCUGAGGAGGAAGCCACGGCUAACUACGUGCCAGCAGCCGCGGUAAUACGUAGGUGGCAAGCGUUGUCCGGAAUUACUGGGUGUAAAGGGAGCGCAGGCGGGUUUGCAAGUUGGAUGUUUAAUGGAGGGGCUCAACCCCUUCUCGCAUUCAAAACUGCAGAUCUUGAGUGGUGCAGAGGCAGGCGGAAUUCCCGGUGUAGCGGUGGAAUGCGUAGAUAUCGGGAGGAACACCAGUGGCGAAGGCGGCCUGCUGGGCACUAACUGACGCUGAGGCUCGAAAGCAUGGGUAGCAAACA